AAGAUCUUGCCUCCAAACCCAGAUGUUUGAUGGUCAUACGGGUCACCUUUGAGAACCUGAUGACACUCACAGGGCCCUGAUCCAGACUCAGAGUCUUCUUAGGUGGUGGCAGCUGAUGGAGAACAUUCCCAUCUCUCUUCUCCUUGCUUGAUACUCCUGAGAUUUCGGUUUUGUAACCUCAAGAUCUCUCCCGUAAAGCUAAUCAUUUGCAAUCCAUCUGUAGAGUUCCCAUGACCUCUUGUUCUCUGGAGCAAGAGCUGUGACAUCAAGAUGGCCUCUCUUGGAUCUCACUGCAUCCUGGUGGAGGCUUGCCCUUCUCACUCCCUCCCUUUAUGAGUGCUUGGGAACUUUUGGAGUUCUUCAGGAAGUAGAAGGCAUAUAGAAAAUGGGCACCUUUCUAUCAGUAGACUGGCUAUGGGGCAUCAUGUCUUUCUUAGAGUUGAAGUUACCUGAGGGAUUUAUUUUCUCAUCAGGGGAUGUUUGCAGACUAGAAGGUGACUUUAAAGGCAUCAUGGGAGAACAGAAAAUAGAAAACUAGGAGCAACAUCUGUGCUGAUUGCUCUGAACCUGAUACCAAUUGAUGUAAAGAUCUGCUGAGCCCUAAGGAUGGCUCAAUUUAAUUGAACUAUUACUACAUUCCUAAGAAGGCUUGAGACUGGACUUCUGGAGACUCUGGAAUACUCAGCUCUACCAUCAUCAGCUCUGUGUGUUCAGCAUUUCCAAGCCCCACCCAUAAAAGUUGCAAUCAACAGCAUCUACUUCUCAGGCUGGUCGUGAGCAACACAUUUCUUAAUAAGUAUUGGUAUCGCUUGGAACAAUAGCUACCAUAUAGAAAGUGCUCAAACGAUAUUGGCGAAAACGUCUGCACUUUCUAUUUGUCUAAGCCAUGCACCUCUGGAGUCAAGUGACACUAGCCAUCUUAUUUAAUAAGAGUAAGACCUUUUAGGUCUUACUGGGGGUGGUGGCACACUCCUACAAUUUUGGCACUUUGGAGGUAGAAGCAGGAGGAUUAGGAGCCCAGGUUCAUCCUUGGCUACCUAGGGAAUUCAGUGUCACCCUGGACUACAUGAGACCCUGUCUAAACAAUCAUGUGUGAUAUAUGGGAUGGGAAUAAUAACACCCUAUGGAGCUGUUGUGUACCUACAUACAAAAGAUGCUCAUAAAACGCUUCAAAGAGUGUGACACAGGGUGAAUGCUCCAUCGAGGUUAUCCAUUAUCCCCACACCUGGCCUCUUAUUAUUUAUCAGGCUGCAUCUAAAAUACAGUUUAAAACUGAGCCUAACUCCUGACUUUUACCAAAGCUGUUAUUCGUAUGGCCUUUCAAUGACUGUCAGUCCACAAAGUGGCUGCCUCGAGGCUUACAUGGUCUUGGGCACUGCGGCACUCACUCUGUAGAAGUUUAAUUGGGGUGUGGUGUGGUUGGCUGUGUGCUAGAAUAAACAAUAGCAGUUAUCAUUAUUUUGCUAGGUUCUGAGCUAAGAUCAUAAACCUCAUUUUACAGAUGAGGAAAUAAAGUCCUAGAGAGGUUAUUUGUGCUCCAACGUCUACGAAGGGAACCCAGGAUUCAGACCGACUGGCCUUCUUGUAUCCCGUGUAAUGUAGCUGUAAUACGAAAAGGGCAUGGUAUUGCAACCAGUAACAUCUAUAGUAGCUUUGAUCCCAGAGUUUUAUUUUGGUUCAGACAGUAGAGUUCAGUCCUUGGAACUGUAACAGUAACUUCGGGUUAAUUUAUAGCAAGAAGAAAGGGAAAUACGCCUGGGACAGAAAAGGAGAGAAUGAAGAAGAAGCGGCUGGCUAUGGCCUGCACAUCUAUCAUCUCAGCACUUAGCAGGCUGGGCCAGAAGGGCUGAGAGGCGGCCAACCUGGGCUACCUCAGGAAACCUUGUCCAAGAAAACAGAGCAACAUGCCAGAACAGUAAAUCAUGGCUAGUUGAUACACUACAUUUGGAUUAAAAAAAUCAUUUAUUUUUACAUUAAAAAUAGA
Mus musculus (house mouse) is the source of this 1984-nucleotide long non-coding RNA. RefSeq annotates it as predicted gene, 54020. The record is from RefSeq and is a predicted model, not a curated record. The transcript has 5 exons. Lineage: Eukaryota; Metazoa; Chordata; Mammalia; Rodentia; Muridae.